Molecule: transfer RNA, 16 nt
Filed under: Suaeda linearis
Lineage: Eukaryota; Viridiplantae; Streptophyta; Magnoliopsida; Caryophyllales; Amaranthaceae
Description: partial tRNA-Leu
Source: RNAcentral
UUAACAAGCCGCUAUG